CCUACGGGAGGCAGCAGUGAGGAAUAUUGGUCAAUGGGCGAGAGCCUGAACCAGCCAAGUCGCGUGAGGGAGUACUGCCCUAUGGGUUGUAAACCUCUUUUGUCGGGGAGCAAAAGCCGGACGUGUCCGGCUGUGAGCGUACCCGAAGAAAAAGCAUCGGCGAAUUCAGGGCGAGCAGCCGCGGUAAUCCGGGGGAUCCGAGCGUUAUCCGGAGUUAAUGGGGUUAAGGGGGGCGUAGGUGGAUUGUUAAGUCAGUUGUGAAAGUUUGCGGCUCAACCGUAAAAUUGCAGUUGAAACUGGGAGUCUAGAGUACAGUAGAGGUGGGCGGAAUUCGUGGUGUAGCGGUGAAAUGCUUAGAUAUCACGAAGAACUCCGAUUGCGAAGGCAGCUCACUGGACUGCAACUGACACUGAGGCUCGAAAGUGUGGGUAUCAAACAGGAUUAGAUACCCUAGUAGUC
This 459-nucleotide ribosomal RNA is filed under the name uncultured bacterium. RNAcentral describes it as "partial 16S ribosomal RNA". It matches the Rfam family "Bacterial small subunit ribosomal RNA", at positions 338 to 795 of the family's 1533-position model. The record is from RNAcentral.